This 275-nucleotide ribosomal RNA is filed under the name uncultured bacterium. RNAcentral's name for it is "partial 16S ribosomal RNA". It matches the Rfam family "Bacterial small subunit ribosomal RNA", at positions 32 to 297 of the family's 1533-position model. The record is from RNAcentral.
AAUCAACGCUGGCGGCGUGCCUCAGACAUGCAAGUCGAACGAUUAAAGCUCUCUUCGGAGAGUGUAUAGAGUGGCGCACGGGUGAGUAACACGUAAGUAAUCUACCUUCGAGUGGGGAAUAACGUCCGGAAACGGACGCUAAUACCGCAUAAUGCAGCGGCAUCGCAAGAUGACAGUUGUUAAAGAUUUAUCGCUUGGAAGAGGAGCUUGCGGNAGAUUAGCUUGUUGGUAAGGUAACGGCUUACCAAGGCCUACGACCUGUAUCCGGUCUAAGA